GAUGAACGCUGGCGGCGUGCCUAAUACAUGCAAGUCGAGCGAAUGGAUUAAGAGCUUGCUCUUAUGAAGUUAGCGGCGGACGGGUGAGUAACACGUGGGUAACCUGCCCAUAAGACUGGGAUAACUCCGGGAAACCGGGGCUAAUACCGGAUAAUAUUUUGAACUGCAUGGUUCAAAAUUGAAAGGCGGCUUCGGCUGUCACUUAUGGAUGGACCCGCGUCGCAUUAGCUAGUUGGUGAGGUAACGGCUCACAAAGGCAACGAUGCGUAGCCGACCUGAGGGGGUGAUGGGCCACAAUGGGACUGGGACACGGCCCAGACUCCUACGGGAGGCAGCAGUAGGGAAUCUUCCGCAAUGGACGAAAGUCUGACGGAGCAACGCCGCGUGAGUGAUGAAGGCUUUCGGGUCGUAAAACUCUGUUGUUAGGGAAGAACAAGUGCUAGUUGAAUAAGCUGGCACCUUGACGGUACCUAACCAGAAAGCCACGGCUAACUACGUGCCAGCCGCCGCGGUAA
This 515-nucleotide ribosomal RNA is filed under the name uncultured bacterium. RNAcentral's name for it is "partial 16S ribosomal RNA". It matches the Rfam family "Bacterial small subunit ribosomal RNA", at positions 28 to 523 of the family's 1533-position model. The record is from RNAcentral.